RNAcentral lists this ribosomal RNA (1086 nucleotides) under Triticum aestivum (bread wheat). Its description in RNAcentral is "partial small subunit ribosomal RNA". Lineage: Eukaryota; Viridiplantae; Streptophyta; Magnoliopsida; Poales; Poaceae. The record is from RNAcentral.
AUGAAGGAAUAUUUCCUUUUUCUAGAACCCAUUGCGAGCCGUCUCGCCUCUUGUUGUAUUACUGUAUCUGCUUGGAUUUGUUCUUUUUGUGCUCCUUUUUACGGCUUGAAACUGCGGUGUGCUACGUCUCAGCUAGAGAAGAACCGGAGUAUAAACAGUGGCAUAAAACUGUGUCAUAAUGAAUGCUCCAUUGCAAUCAGCUUCAAUUUGCUAGCUAUGGCCUACAGAGUCUUCUCCCGGAAUAGGAAAACUUUCACCCGCAAAAGAAAAAACGAAAUUGGAAAACUUUGCAAAGGGAAAAAAGACGCUACAGAGUCAAAACAAAAGCAGAAUCGGCUACUAGCUCCAGAGCGCGAACUCAGUUGCCCCCUCGGCCUCGCCGCACUCUCCGUUAUCCCAGUACGCGCCGGUGCCAGUCGCCACCGGAGGCGGGUCCAUGAGCAGCGCCUCCGCGAGGCUCGCGUAGUACGAGCCCAAGUCCAUUUCCGGGAACAAGUCAAGCCUACUGAACAUUUCGAUGUCCAUUCCGCCCGGCACCGCGAAGUCUCCAUCGGCGGAAGGUUUCGACGUCUCCGACGAACCGGCAUCGUCAGACUCAGACGACGAUUCUGCAGGAGCGCCACAGGAGGCCUCCUCGGCGGCGGUGGCGGUGGCGGUGGCGGUGAUGGACCCACCGGCAGCCUCCCGUCGCUGCAAAUCCGCGACGGCCUCGACCGCCGCGCGCCGGACGUCGGCGAGAUCGGAGUGCGCGGACGGCACAGCGAGCAGCCACGCGGAGUCCGGGAAGUUGAGGAGCGCGGCGGAGCGGCCGCCCAGGGCGAGCAUGGCGGCGUCGUUGGCGCGCGCUGCAAUCUCGGCCGUGGCGUAAGUCCCGAGCCAGAGCCGAGCGCCGCGCUUGCCAGGGACGCGCACCUCGCAGACCCACCGUUGGGCGUUGCCCCGGCGCCGCACGCCACGAUACACAGGGUGCCGCGUCUCGCGGAACUUGGUGCGCCCCGCGGGGCGCUUGGCCAGCGACGAGGAGGAUGGGGAGGAGCUCGAGACCUCAAGGCCCAUGUCCAUGGCUACCGGCAGAGUGCUGGGUGA